Molecule: ribosomal RNA, 502 nt
Filed under: uncultured Sphingobacterium sp.
Lineage: Bacteria; Pseudomonadati; Bacteroidota; Sphingobacteriia; Sphingobacteriales; Sphingobacteriaceae
Description: bacterial SSU rRNA
Rfam family: Bacterial small subunit ribosomal RNA
Source: RNAcentral
GAGUUUGACGUGGCUCAGGAUGAACGCUAGCGGCAGGCUUAAUACAUGCAAGUCGAGGGGCAGCGGGGUAGCAAUACCGCCGGCGACCGGCAAACGGGUGCGGAACACGUACACAACCUUCCUUAAGGUGGGGGAUAGCCCAGAGAAAUUUGGAUUAAUACCUCAUAGGAUAUUGGGAUCGCAUGAUUUUGAUAUUAAAGAUUUAUUGCCUUAAGAUGGGUGUGCGUAUGAUUAGGUAGUUGGUGCGGGUAACGGCCCACCAAGCCUUCGAUCAUUAACUGGUGUGAGAGCACGACCAGUCACACGGGCACUGAGACACGGGCCCGACUCCUACGGGAGGCAGCAGUAAGGAUAUUGGUCAAUGGACGAAAGUCUGAACCAGCCAUGCCGCGUGAAGGAUGAAGGCCCCUCUGGGUUGUAAACUUCUUUUCUCUGGGGCGAAAAAGGGAUUCUUUCCCGUCUGCGGUACCAGAGGAAUAAGCACCGGCUAACUCCGUGCCAG